GUAGGGAAUAUUGCACAAUGGAGGAAACUCUGAUGCAGCGACGCCGCGUGAGUGAUGAAGGCCUUCGGGUCGUAAAACUCUGUGAUAAGGGAAGAUGAUGACGGUACCUUAUCAGAAAAGACCGGCUAACUUCGUGCCAGCAGCCGCGGUAAUACGAGGGGUCUAAGCGUUGUUCGGAAUCACUGGGCGUAAAGCGGGUGUAGGUGGCUAUGCAAGUUGGAUGUGAAAGCCCCGGGCUCAACCCGGGAAGUGCAUCCAAAACUACGUAGCUUGAGUGCGGGAGAGAAAGGCAGAAUUCCUGGUGUAGUGGUGAAAUACGUAGAUAUCAGGAGGAACUCCGGUGGCGAAGGCGGCCUUUUGGCCCAGCACUGACACUCAGACCCGAAAGUGUGGGUAGCAAACAGGAUUAGAUACCCGGGUAGUCC
RNAcentral lists this ribosomal RNA (425 nucleotides) under uncultured bacterium. RNAcentral describes it as "bacterial SSU rRNA". It matches the Rfam family "Bacterial small subunit ribosomal RNA", at positions 354 to 796 of the family's 1533-position model. The record is from RNAcentral.